Molecule: ribosomal RNA, 253 nt
Filed under: uncultured bacterium
Lineage: Bacteria
Description: partial 16S ribosomal RNA
Rfam family: Bacterial small subunit ribosomal RNA
Source: RNAcentral
UACGUAGGGCGCAAGCGUUAUCCGGAAUUAUUGGGCGUAAAGAGCUCGUAGGCGGCUUGUUGCGUCGACUGUGAAAACCCGCGGCUUAACUGCGGGCUUGCAGUUGAUACGGGCAGGCUAGAGUUCGGUAGGGGAGACUGGAAUUCCUGGUGUAGCGGUGAAAUGCGCAGAUAUCAGGAGGAACACCGGUGGCGAAGGCGGGUCUCUGGGCCGAUACUGACGCUGAGGAGCGAAAGCGUGGGGAGCGAACAGG